This 76-nucleotide transfer RNA is filed under the name Photobacterium damselae subsp. piscicida. Its description in RNAcentral is "tRNA-Val". It matches the Rfam family "tRNA". From Rfam's summary of the family: Transfer RNA (tRNA) molecules are approximately 80 nucleotides in length. Their secondary structure includes four short double-helical elements and three loops (D, anti-codon, and T loops). Further hydrogen bonds mediate the characteristic L-shaped molecular structure. tRNAs have two regions of fundamental functional importance: the anti-codon, which is responsible for specific mRNA codon recognition, and the 3' end, to which the tRNAs corresponding amino acid is attached (by aminoacyl-tRNA synthetases). tRNAs cope with the degeneracy of the genetic code in two manners: having more than one tRNA (with a specific anti-codon) for a particular amino acid; and 'wobble' base-pairing, i.e. permitting non-standard base-pairing at the 3rd anti-codon position. The record is from RNAcentral. Lineage: Bacteria; Pseudomonadati; Pseudomonadota; Gammaproteobacteria; Vibrionales; Vibrionaceae.
GGGCGAUUAGCUCAGUUGGGAGAGCACCUCCCUUACAAGGAGGGGGUCACUGGUUCGAGCCCGGCAUCGCCCACCA